GACGAACGCUGGCGGCGUGCUUAACACAUGCAAGUCGAACGGAAAGGCCCUGCUUUUGUGGGGUGCUCGAGUGGCGAACGGGUGAGUAACACGUGAGUAACCUGCCCUUGACUUUGGGAUAACUUCAGGAAACUGGGGCUAAUACCGGAUAGGAGCUCCUGCUGCAUGGUGGGGGUUGGAAAGUUUCGGCGGUUGGGGAUGGACUCGCGGCUUAUCAGCUUGUUGGUGGGGUAGUGGCUUACCAAGGCUUUGACGGGUAGCCGGCCUGAGAGGGUGACCGGCCACAUUGGGACUGAGAUACGGCCCAGACUCCUACGGGAGGCAGCAGUGGGGAAUAUUGCACAAUGGGCGGAAGCCUGAUGCAGCAACGCCGCGUGCGGGAUGACGGCCUUCGGGUUGUAAACCGCUUUCGCCUGUGACGAGGAGUGAGUGACGGUAAUGGGUAAAGAAGCACCGGCUAACUACGUG
RNAcentral lists this ribosomal RNA (468 nucleotides) under uncultured bacterium. Its description in RNAcentral is "partial 16S ribosomal RNA". It matches the Rfam family "Bacterial small subunit ribosomal RNA", at positions 28 to 507 of the family's 1533-position model. The record is from RNAcentral.